CCUACGGGUGGCAGCAGUGGGGAAUAUUGCACAAUGGGGGAAACCCUGAUGCAGCGACGCCGCGUGAGUGAAGAAGUAUUUCGGUAUGUAAAGCUCUAUCAGCAGGGAAGAAGCAAGACGGUACCUGACUAAGAAGCACCGGCUAACUACGUGCCAGCAGCCGCGGUAAGACGUAGGGGGCAAGCGUUAUCCGGAUUUACUGGGUGUAAAGGGAGCGUAGACGGUAUGGCAAGUCUGAAGUGAAAGCCAAGGGCUUAACCCUGGGACUGCUUUGGAAACUGUUAGACUAGAGUGCUGGAGAGGUAAGUGGAAUUCCUAGUGUAGCGGUGAAAUGCGUAGAUAGUAGGAGGAACACCAGUGGCGAAGGCGGCUUACUGGACAGUAACUGACGUUGAGGCUCGAAAGCGUGGGGAGCAAACAGGAUUAGAUACCCCUGUAGUC
RNAcentral lists this ribosomal RNA (441 nucleotides) under uncultured bacterium. Its description in RNAcentral is "partial 16S ribosomal RNA". It matches the Rfam family "Bacterial small subunit ribosomal RNA", at positions 338 to 795 of the family's 1533-position model. The record is from RNAcentral.